This is a long non-coding RNA of Piliocolobus tephrosceles (Ugandan red Colobus), 315 nucleotides long. RefSeq lists it as uncharacterized. The transcript has 3 exons. Lineage: Eukaryota; Metazoa; Chordata; Mammalia; Primates; Cercopithecidae. The record is from RefSeq and is a predicted model, not a curated record.
ACUGCAGACCUGCAACCAUAGAUGUUUCUAGUGCUGCAGAAACCCAAUCACUGGCCAGCAUUUGGAUCCAGAUUCGCAUCCUCCCUAAAGAACAUCAGUCCGUUGUUGCCUAUUGUGGCAGUUGGUGGCUGGAUUCUGGAUGACUACACAGAAAAAUGGGAAUUGAAGGAGGUGUCAUCCAAAUGACUCCACUCCCCUGCCAUGUCUCCCCACACUCCCAAGUCUCCAUCAUUGGUCAAUCCCAGCUCUCAAGGAUCUAAGUAACUGCGUGACUAAUGGUGUCAGAAGAAAUGUGGAGAGAAGGUUCACAGAAAG